Molecule: long non-coding RNA, 1027 nt
Organism: Eriocheir sinensis (Chinese mitten crab)
Lineage: Eukaryota; Metazoa; Arthropoda; Malacostraca; Decapoda; Varunidae
Exons: 4
Source: RefSeq, a predicted model, not a curated record
CGUGGAUUGUCUACGACAGUAUAACGAGCACCACAAACCCGGGUUUGUUUAGAGUUUGCUCUCCUAGGCAGAUUGCCUACCACGGCUGACGACCUCCACCUGCCCGGGUUUAUUGUUCGGAGUUUGCUCUCCUAGGCAGAUUGCCUACCACGGCUGACGACCUCCACCUGGCCGGGUUUAUUGUUCGGAGUUUGCUCUCCUAGGCAGAUUGCCUACCACGACUGACGACCUCCACCUGCCCGGGUUUAUUGUUCGGAGUUUGCUCUCCUAGGUGAACUGCCUACCACGGCUGACGACCUCCACCUGGCCGGGUUUAUUGUUCGGAGUUUGCUCUCCUAGGCAGAUUGCCUACCACGGCUGACGACCUCCACCUGGCCGGGUUUAUUGUUCGGAGUUUGCUCUCCUAGGUAAAAUGCUCACGCUAACGAGCUCCACCUGCCCGUGUUUUUAGCUCGGAGUUUGCUCUCCUAGGUGAACUGCUCACGCUAACGAGCUCCACCUGCCCGGGUUUGUUGUUCGGAGUUUGCUCUCCUAGGUGAAUUGCCUACCACGGCUAACGAGCCCCACCUGCCCGGGUUUGUUUAGAGUUUCCUCUCCUAGGUGAACUGCCUACCACGGCUAACGAGCCUCACCUGCCCGGGUUUGUUUAGAGUUUGCUCUCCUAGGUGAAUUACCUCCCACGGUUAACGAGCCUCACCUGCCCGGGUUUGUUUAGAGUUUGCUCUCCUAGGUGAAUUGCCUCCCACGGCUAACGACCUCCACCUGCCCGGGUUUGUUUAGAGUUUGCUCUCCUAGGUGAAUUGCCUCCCACGGCUAACGACCUCCACCUGCCCGGGUUUGUUUAGAGUUUGCUCUCCUAGGUGAAUUGCCUCCCACGGCUAACGACCUCCACCUGCCCGGGUUUGUUUAGAGUUUGCUCUCCUAGGUGAACUGCCUACCACGGCUAACGAGCCUCACCUGCCCGGGUUUGUUUAGAGUUUGCUCUCCUAGGUGAAUUGCCUCCCACGGCUAACGACCUCCACCUGCC